AUUGAACGCUGGCGGCAUGCCUAACACAUGCAAGUCGAGCGGAUGAAGUGAGCUUGCUCCUGGAUUCAGCGGCGGACGGGUGAGUAAUGCCUAGGAAUCUUCCUGGUAGUUUGGGAUUACGUCCCGAAACGGGCUCUAAUACCUCAUACGUCCUGAGGCAUCAAGUGGGGGUUCUUCGGACCUCACUCUCUCAUAUGAGCCUAGGUCGGAUUCGCUAGUUGGUGGGGUAAAGGCCUACCAAGGCGACGAUCCGUAACUGGUCUGAGAGGAUGAUCAGUCACACUGGAACUGAGACACGGUCAAGAGGCCUACGGGAGGCAGAAGUGGGGAAUAGUGGAAAAUGGGAGAAAGCCUGAUCCAGCCAUGCCGCGUGUGUGAAGAAGGUAUUCGGAUUGUAAAGCACUUUAAGUUGGGAGGAAGGGCAGUAAGUGAAUAACUGGCUGUGUUGACGGUACCAACAGAAGAAGCACCGGCUAACUUCGUG
This 484-nucleotide ribosomal RNA is filed under the name uncultured bacterium. RNAcentral's name for it is "partial 16S ribosomal RNA". It matches the Rfam family "Bacterial small subunit ribosomal RNA", at positions 30 to 507 of the family's 1533-position model. The record is from RNAcentral.